UUCCAGCUCCAAUAGCGUAUACUAAAGUUGCUGCAGUUAAAAAGCUCGUAGUUGGAUUUCUGGUCGUGGUCGCCGGUCGUGCCCAAACGGGUUCUGUACCUGGCGCCCGCGUCCAUCCUCGGGGAGAGCGUGUCUGGCAUUAAGUUGUCGGGCUCGGGACCCCCGUCAUUUACUGUGAGCAAAAUAGAGUGUUCAAAGCAGGCUUAGGCCAUGAAUACAUUAGCAUGGAAUAAUAAGAUAAGACCUUGGUCUAUUUUGUUGGUUUGCAUUCCAAGGUAAUGAUUAAUAGGGAUAGUUGGGGGUAUUCGUAUUCAAUUGUCAGAGGUGAAAUUCUUGGAUUUAUGGAAGACGAACUACUGCGAAAGCAUUUACCAAGGAUGUUUUCAUUA
This 389-nucleotide ribosomal RNA is filed under the name Chrysophyceae sp. Its description in RNAcentral is "partial small subunit ribosomal RNA". It matches the Rfam family "Eukaryotic small subunit ribosomal RNA", at positions 583 to 975 of the family's 1831-position model. Lineage: Eukaryota; Chrysophyceae. The record is from RNAcentral.